RNAcentral lists this long non-coding RNA (211 nucleotides) under Vigna radiata. RNAcentral describes it as "long non-coding RNA (VRAD_LNC001834)". The record is from RNAcentral. Lineage: Eukaryota; Viridiplantae; Streptophyta; Magnoliopsida; Fabales; Fabaceae.
GAUGCUAUAUGGUUAGACAUCUACUGAUGGAUGUCACUGACAACAUUUACUGAUGAAUGCCACUGGGAUAACAUCUACUAAGGGAUGCUAGAAGAUUUAGAUAUCUACUGAAGGAUACAGGAAGGUACACCUACUGAUGGGUGACGGUAAGGUUGACACCUACUGAUGGGUGCUAGAAAGUUUUGGGUCAGGCUCGUGACGUUAGACAAGC